CGAGCGAACAGAUGAAGUGCUUGCACUUCUGACGUUAGCGGCGAACGGGUGAGUAACACGUAAGGAAUCUACCUAUAAGCGGGGGAUAACAUUCGGAAACGGGUGCUAAUACCGCAUAAUAUCUUCUUCCGCAUGGAAGAAGAUUGAAAGACGGCUCUGCUGUCACUUAUAGAUGACCUUGCGGUGCAUUAGUUAGUUGGUGGGGUAACGGCCUACCAAGACGAUGAUGCAUAGCCGACCUGAGAGGGUGAUCGGCCACAUUGGGACUGAGACACGGCCCAAACUCCUACGGGAGGCAGCAGUAGGGAAUCUUCCGCAAUGGGCGAAAGCCUGACGGAGCAAUGCCGCGUGAGUGAAGAAGGCCUUCGGGUCGUAAAACUCUGUUAUAAGAGAAGAACAAAUUGUAGAGUAACUGCUACAGUCUUGACGGUAUCUUAUCAGAAAGCCACGGCUAACUACGUGCCAGCAGCCGCGGUAAUACGUAGGUGGCAAGCGUUGUCCGGAUUUAUUGGGCGUAAAGGGAGCGCAGGUGGUUUCUUAAGUCUGAUGUGAAAGCCCACGGCUUAACCGUGGAGGGUCAUUGGAAACUGGGAAACUUGAGUACAGAAGAGGAAUGUGGAACUCCAUGUGUAGCGGUGGAAUGCGUAGAUAUAUGGAAGAACACCAGUGGCGAAGGCGACAUUCUGGUCUGUUACUGACACUGAGGCUCGAAAGCGUGGGGAGCAAACAGGAUUAGAUACCCUGGUAGUCCACGCCGUAAACGAUGAGUGCUAGGUGUUGGAGGGUUUCCGCCCUUCAGUGCCGCAGUUAACGCAUUAAGCACUCCGCCUGGGGAGUACGACCGCAAGGUUGAAACUCAAAGGAAUUGACGGGGACCCGCCAAGCGGUGGAACAUGUGGUUUAAUUCGAAGCACGCGAGAACCUUACCAGUCUUGACUCCUUUGACACCCUAGAGAUAGGCUU
RNAcentral lists this ribosomal RNA (963 nucleotides) under Aerococcus viridans. RNAcentral's name for it is "bacterial SSU rRNA". It matches the Rfam family "Bacterial small subunit ribosomal RNA", at positions 63 to 1013 of the family's 1533-position model. Lineage: Bacteria; Bacillati; Bacillota; Bacilli; Lactobacillales; Aerococcaceae. The record is from RNAcentral.